This 459-nucleotide ribosomal RNA is filed under the name uncultured bacterium. Its description in RNAcentral is "partial 16S ribosomal RNA". It matches the Rfam family "Bacterial small subunit ribosomal RNA", at positions 338 to 795 of the family's 1533-position model. The record is from RNAcentral.
CCUACGGGUGGCAGCAGUGAGGAAUAUUGGUCAAUGGGCGGAAGCCUGAACCAGCCAAGUAGCGUGCGGGAUGAAGGCCCUACGGGUCGUAAACCGCUUUUGCACGGGGAUAACACCCUCCACUUGUGGAGGUCUGCAGGUACCGUGCGAAUAAGGGCCGGCUAAUUCCGUGCCAGCAGCCGCGGUAAUACGGAAGGCCCGAGCGUUAUCCGGAUUCAUUGGGCUUAAAGGGAGCGUAGGCGGGCGUUCAAGUCAGCUGUAAAAUCGCGCGGCUCAACCGCGCCCCGCAGUUGAAACUGGACGCCUUGAGUUCACAACAGGCAGGCGGAAUUCGUGGUGUAGCGGUGAAAUGCAUAGAUAUCAUACAGAACACCGAUUGCGAAGGCAGCUUACCAAACUAUAUCUGACGUUGAGGCACGAAAGCGUGGGUAGCAAACAGGAUUAGAUACCCUUGUAGUC